GAUGAAGAACGCAGUGAAAUGCGAUAAGUAAUGUGAAUUGCAGAAUUCAGUGAAUCAUCGAAUCUUUGAACGCAUAUUGCGCCCGCCAGUAUUCUGGCGGGCAUGCCUGUUCGAGCGUCAUUUCAACCAUCAAGCCCCAGGCUUGUGUUGGGGACCUGCGGCUGCCGCAGGCCCUGAAAACCAGUGGCGGGCUCGCUGUCACACCGGGCGUAGUAGAUUUUAUCUCGCUCAGGGCGUGCUGCGGGUCCCGGCCGUUAAAAGCCUUUUUUUACCCAAGGUUGACCUCGGAUCAGGUAGGAAGACCCGCUGAACUUAAGCAUAUCAAUAAGCGGAGGA
This 336-nucleotide unclassified non-coding RNA is filed under the name soil metagenome. RNAcentral describes it as "partial contains 5.8S ribosomal RNA, internal transcribed spacer 2, and large subunit ribosomal RNA". The stretch from base 1 to 120 matches the Rfam family "5.8S ribosomal RNA", at positions 35 to 154 of the family's 154-position model. The record is from RNAcentral.